ACCUCUCUGCUGUCUUUGUUCCUUGUGAUCAGGUUUGGGUAUUGCACACUUUUCGGUCUACAGCUGCUUGGCCGUUCGGGGCUCUAAGUUUUACAGGACUGAAAGUACUGGGGGAUUUAAAUGUUCUAGUUGCACAGUUAUGGUGAGGAAAAGAACUCUGGAAAAGGGAAAGGCCAGACUGCAGUCCGCGGGUGUGGAGCCGUACUUCAACAGAGACCCUGUUACUAGGCAACCGCUGGCGUUCUCAACCGCCGCCCCAGAGCCACCGCCUCGCCCCCGUCGCCAAGGAGAUGGACGCUUCAACUCGGGCCUGCCGUAAAUCCGCACGCUCUUUACGACACUGCCGCGGCUGCCGCUGCGUGCGCGCCCUCUGCCCCCACCUCCACACUCCGCCCCGGCCGCCAUUGCCUCGUGCCCGCGCUAGUCGGUUGGUGGCGCCUUUGUCCUACGGCGGGCAGGUGGGCUGAGGCCGAGGCGGGAGCGGCGGGCCUGAGGCGGAGGAGCGGCGGGGAGGCGGCCGCGCUGGUAGCGAUAUUAAUAAGGCAGCGGAAAGAAGAAAUAUGAAUACGGCUCCAUCAAGACCCAGCCCCACACGAAGAAACGCUCAAGCAAACAAGAACCUUGUCUGAAGGGCCUUGCUACUUUUUAAGUCAUACGUCAGGAGAUACAGAGGAAGCUUUGUGUUUUCCGUGACAAAACCAGCAAGUUCAGCUUGCGGCAUGAGUUGCAGGCAAUUGGAAGAGGAUAAACCUCUGUUUCCCCAGCUCACGUGUCAUUGGGAUUCUUCAGAGCAGGAGGAGGGCCCCAGGGUCAAGUUGGUGUGUACCUGCCGUGUUGCUCUGCAGCAGGCAGCAGAGAUUUGAAUCUUCAUUGCAAAUUGCUGCCGGCCCAGAUGUUAACUCAGGUUUUCGGAAAGAGCUGCUUGACAGAUUGCCGCUGUGCCUGUGCUGCAGAUCCCGUGUGCUCGAAUGUCUGGGUUACUUGUCUGAAGGGAAAUAAAGAGGGCAAAACAC
This 1013-nucleotide long non-coding RNA is filed under the name Rattus norvegicus (Norway rat). RNAcentral describes it as "long non-coding RNA NONRATT019955". The record is from RNAcentral. Lineage: Eukaryota; Metazoa; Chordata; Mammalia; Rodentia; Muridae.